CUUUGGCAGUUCCUUUUAAGGAAAGGUGGUAGUUAAGACUUUGUAAAGGCCAGGGAACUAGCUACGAUUCUCUCAGCGGGUAAUUGGCUGCUCCUAGGUUUGUGUAACAAGCGGCAAAACUGUCUCUCUUCUCCUGAAGUUUGAAAUGCUUUAUCUCAUCGGCUUGGGCCUGGGAGAUGCCAAGGACAUCACAGUCAAGGGCCUGGAAGUUGUUAGACGCUGCAGUCGCGUGUAUCUGGAAGCCUACACCUCAGUCCUGACUGUAGGGCAGGAAGCUUUGGAAGAGUUUUAUGGAAGAAAAUUGAUUCUUGCUGAUAGAGAAGAAGUGGAACAAGAAGCAGAUAAUAUUUUAAAGGAUGCUGAUAUCAGUGAUGUUGCAUUCCUUGUGGUUGGUGAUCCAUUUGGUUAUAUAAGUUUGGAGAGACCGUUUCUAUUGUUUUUUGGACAGACACUUGGAGACCAGAAAGCUUCUUUGACAAAGUGAAGAAGAACAGACAAAAUGGCAUGCACACAUUAUGUUUACUAGACAUCAAAGUAAAGGAGCAGUCUUUGGAAAAUCUAAUCAAGGGAAGGAAGAUCUAUGAACCUCCACGGUAUAUGAGUGUAAACCAGGCAGCCCAGCAGCUUCUGGAGAUUGUUCAAAAUCAAAGAAUACGAGGAGAAGAACCAGCAAUUACCGAGGAGACACUUUGCGUUGGCUUAGCCAGGGUUGGAGCCGACGACCAGAAAAUUGCAGCAGGCACUUUACAGCAAAUGUGUACUGUGGACUUGGGAGAACCAUUGCAUUCCUUGAUCAUCACAGGAGGCAGCAUACAUCCAAUGGAGAUGGAGAUGCUAAGUCUGUUUUCCAUACCAGAAAAUAGCUCAGAAUCUCAAAGCAUCAAUGGACUUUGAACAUAGAUAUUUACUAUUGUCUGAUGUAAAUUUCAGCCAUAUAUAGAUUGAUAUGGUUUGGCUGUAUCCCCACCC
RNAcentral lists this small RNA (969 nucleotides) under Pongo abelii (Sumatran orangutan). RNAcentral describes it as "processed transcript". Lineage: Eukaryota; Metazoa; Chordata; Mammalia; Primates; Hominidae. The record is from RNAcentral.